GUCAGAGGAGCCCAACAGUGACUGGCCAGUGCAGACCAAACACCAACCAAAAUUAAGGUCAGAUAAUGCUAAUGGGAAUAAUUACCAGGGAUUGAUCCUGCUACAUCUAAGAAGAGUCUGUGGCCUGGGUUCAAACUUGCUUAUCCAAGUGGUUCCCAACAUGUAGGUCAGGGUCCUUAAGACUCUUCCCCAUGACUGAUAGGAAAUCAAGAGGUAAACACACAAAUCUUGUCUUCAUUGAAGUCCUGUACGAUUUUUCAAACAUCAUACCCUAAAGACAAUUAAAAUGCUGUUAGAUCACCAGUCUUAUACUUCAACAAAUGCAAUUUAACCCUAAGUCUCUUUUAAGAUGAGAUCAUAGACUGUAUAUGCUAUGGACAACUUGGUUCCACCUUCCGCCAGUAUACAGAUUUGAAGCCGGAAAGCUCUCGGUAAUUCCGCGCUUUUUCUCCACUUCCUGAAACGGACAUUGCGCAGUGGCGUUGAACGCAUAGACAUAGAAAAGAAAGGCUAGAUGAAUCGAAGCGGAGACACCGGCGUCCGUACACGGCGGCCAUCUUACUUCAGUAGCUAUACUAUUCUGGUACAUUGUAUGGUAGCUGACGAAAAGUGAGUAAUUUGCAUGAUCAAAAAUACUCUUAACUCGCUGGAAUCUUGACAGAUUUACAAACGGUUUUGUUUAUUACAUAUCUUCACAACGUGGCUAACAGGUAACAAGUGAAACAGUGUCACUUAGUGUUUUUACGUCAUGUAAAAGAAAAAGAGUUAAUGUGUUGAAUUGACUGCAACUGGAAUUAAAAAUACAUGUUUCAUGUUCAUCCAUUAAAAAUUCAGCUAUGUUGAAUUUCCUAUAGACAGACUAUCAUAUCUAAAUAAUGCAGCUGAGAAUCAAUUUUCUCUUGAAUGCGUAGAUCUUAAUUAGACCCAAACUGACCUGCGUGUUACAUGUGCUCCGCAGUUAGCACCAAAUGUGUUUUUACCAUUGGACAUACAGCCUCUUACUUACAUGUUUGUUAAUUGUUUUGGUAUAUGAUGUAAUAGGCCAACCUGAAGACACUGUUGUUGAGAAAUCAGUUCUUCUUGCUGCUUGUGCUCUGGGAUAAAGACAGUUUAAUCACCUACUUUGAGCUAUAACUGUCACUCAACUUGACUGAAACAGUUUGCCGUACACUUUGACACUAGUCUAAAGCUGGGUGAAGUUAAGGCAGAGCCUGAUUACAUUACUGCAGCAAACUCAGAGUGAAAGGAGCUAAUGCCCAAGUCACUCACCUUCUCACCUUUAUUUUAGUGGUUUGAAAACUGCAUAUAAAAUGAAUGUAAUGGACUGAAUAUUGUAAAGAGAUUUUAUUCUACACUACAAACUUGAACUUCACAUGAAUAAAGAGUCGGUGGGGUUUAAAAUCUGCUACUGCGGACCAUGACUAUCUGCUCAAGCUUCUUCUGCAUCGCUCCAGUUUAAUAUCUGAAUACAUUUCUCUUAUUUUCAGCAAUUAUGAGUCAGGACUGCGAGUACUGUAUAAAUAUAGAUCUUUAUUUAUUUAUGAACUUCAUAUGCUCAGUUUACAGUGUUGGGGGAACAUUACUUUCAUUCAAACUAACCUGUUACACUACAUGAUAAAAACAGAGAAAAAUAAGUGGAUGGUUUGAGCUGCUGCAGGUUGUAUUAGUUGUGGUUAUGUUUAAUGACACACUAUAAAAUCUAAAUACAGUACAUUACCCUAUUUUACUAAUGUGAAGCAGUUACCAUGAGAACUACAAACAUACUUGUUACAUGAAAAAUGACUGAAAUAAAAUAACAAUUACUACAAAUUUUAAUGUCCUAUCAUGUGCUAUAAUUAAAAGUUAAAUAAAACCACGAAAUACAUAAAAAAUAUUUGUAACAUGUGACCCUCAACACUGUUUAAAAUAAUAUACCUUUAAAAUACAAAAUUAUACUUGAUAUAAAGUAUCAGUGCAUAAUCACUUCCUUCCAACGUUGACGAGAAACCGGUCAAAAAUAAAACAUCCUUUGGAAAUUCACAGGGCUUCAAUAUAUCCAUUUAACACUAUAGUCUCUCACUAACAAAUACUGUUUUCCUUGCUCUCCUCAGUGGUUUCUACAAAGUCUGUAGUUAAGGUUUGGUCCAUACACCAGAAAACAAAUCAAAUACUGACAGAAAAUGGACAUUUCUCAUGUUAACAUAUAAACAGUGAACCAGCGCAAAGUGGUGCUACCUUCAAAGAUAUGGAGAGUUUUUUUAUUUUUAAAGCCUGCUCUGCAAGCUUCACCAACACUUGUUUCUGUUUCUGCAGGAGCACAAACCACCUGACUUUACUAUGAGUGAAUACAGCAGCACAAACACGUGGAGCGAAAGGAUGGUGACAUUCGAGGUUGACUGAACUAGAAGACCUUUUGGUUAAUCUGAAAAUGUAAAUCGAAACACACUGAAGAAGAUUAAUGCAAUGACUGGCAGUGUUUAAAGUCUAAAUAAAUAUGUUUUUUUUUCACUAGUGCUUUGUGUAUCUCAUGUUUCUAACAAUUUAUAACUUGAUAAACAAAUCCAUCUCUCCUCUCACUUCAGACAAAAAUCAAAUAGUAGAAUAAUGGAUCUUCUUCAUCAGUAGGAGGACCCCACACAGAGCGAUUCAUUUACACAUUUUCAUGAUUGAUCUGUGAUGUUAAAUCUGACCUUGUCUGGUCUUCAUUGCAGCCCCACCUCAUGUCCUCCAUAAACCUUCAUUAACCUGCGAUUUUAUAUAACCUGAAGAGCUUUAAAGCACAUCCCCCUACCUCUGUCACUCGGGAUCAACCCGAGUAAUUCAAGCUGAUAGUUUUAUUACAGGAGCACCUCAAAUGGGGAACU
Xyrichtys novacula (pearly razorfish) is the source of this 2843-nucleotide non-coding RNA. Lineage: Eukaryota; Metazoa; Chordata; Actinopteri; Labriformes; Labridae. The record is from the annotation of a GenBank genome assembly.